GAUGGCCCCUGGGCCGGCGAUGGUUCAUUCAAAUUUCUUCCCUAUCAACUUUCGAUGUUUGGGUAUUGGCCAAACAUGGUUGCAACGGGUAACGGAGGGUUAGGGCUCGACCCCGGAGAAGGAGCCUGAGAAACGGCUACUACAUCCAAGGAAGGCAGCAGGCGCGCAAAUUACCCAAUCCCGACACGGGGAGGUAGUGACAAUAAAUACUGAUACAGGGCUCUUUUGGGUCUUGUAAUUGGAAUGAGUACAAUUUAAAUCCCUUAACGAGGAACAAUUGGAGGGCAAGUCUGGUGCCAGCAGCCGCGGUAAUUCCAGCUCCAAUAGCGUAUAUUAAAGUUGUUGUGGUUAAAAAGCUCGUAGUUGAACCUUGGGCCUGGCUGGCCGGUCCGCCUCACCGCGUGUACUGGUCCGGCCGGGCCUUUCCCUCUGUGGAACCCCAUGCCCUUCACUGGGUGUGGCGGGGAACCAGGACUUUUAC
RNAcentral lists this ribosomal RNA (481 nucleotides) under uncultured fungus. RNAcentral's name for it is "SSU rRNA". It matches the Rfam family "Eukaryotic small subunit ribosomal RNA", at positions 272 to 755 of the family's 1831-position model. The record is from RNAcentral. Lineage: Eukaryota; Fungi.